This 596-nucleotide long non-coding RNA is filed under the name Homo sapiens (human). RNAcentral describes it as "HSALNT0376169". Lineage: Eukaryota; Metazoa; Chordata; Mammalia; Primates; Hominidae. The record is from RNAcentral.
AUGGAGUUUUAAGCCUAAAGGACAGUAUCCUACUUGCAGAAGAAGAUGGGAAAUGUAACAUUCCAUUAUCUUGCUUUGGAUUUAUGGAAAUUCUGAACAGUGAUGUGAGAGUGACUACAGUUUGAAGUAUCUGUUAAAUACAGCAACAUGACAUCACAAGGAUUGUUUUGGAGUCUUCUGGAUAUGAGAACAUUAUAAAAGGUGAAAAAGUAGAACUGAAAUAUGAAGGGAGAAAAAGAGACAAACAUGGUUUCAAGUCUCACUUAGAGAAGAAGGAUUGUUUAUUUAUUUGAUGGAAAUUGGGUCAAUUGAAGACUCUGACACAGAGAAUAACGGAAAUGGCUCACAUAUUAUGGUGGCUAAGAAGUCCUACGAUCUGCUGUCUUCAAACUGGAGAACCAUAAAUGUCAAUGGUGUAAUUCAGUCUGAAUCUGAAGGCCUAAGAACCAAGAGAAAUGAUGGUAUAAUUCCUGGUCUGAAUCCAAAAGCAGGAGAAGAUGUCCCAGUUCAAGCAGAAGGAAUAAAUUCAUUCUUUAUCUUCCUUCUUGUUCUAUUUGUGUCUUCCAUGGACUGGAUGUUGACUGUCCACAUUGGUG